This 412-nucleotide long non-coding RNA is filed under the name Apteryx rowi (Okarito brown kiwi). RNAcentral describes it as "lncRNA (ENSARWG00000007684.1)". Lineage: Eukaryota; Metazoa; Chordata; Aves; Apterygiformes; Apterygidae. The record is from RNAcentral.
CAUGUUCCAGCCGUUCUCCUGUCCGAAGGGUCUUCCAGAUCAAAUUUGCUCCGUUUGCAAACCGGAAGAUGAUUUUCCUAAUGGCUGUAACUACAUUGCUCAUAUUCUGGCUGCACAGACUUGCUCCUGUAUAGCUGCAGUGCAUCUGGGAGGAGCAUUCUGCCGUAUCUCACAGAGGAAUAUCUGUAGCUGUCAACUGGCACAUUCUUCUGUUGCUAGACUGCUGUGCUGUGUCUUCUAAUAAAGUUGCCCUCUGUUCCACUACAGGGCAGUAAUCUGUAAUGAAAAUUUUAUAUGAGUGGUUAGGAAAUGGAGUUUGAAUCCGGGUUUCAAGUAUGAUUUUCAUAAUACUCUAGGCAUAUAUACACACAGGUUUUGGGGAUUUAGAAAUAAAAGGGAUCAUUUCACAACA